AAUGAAUUGACGGGGACCCGCACAAGUAGUGGAGCAUGUGGUUUAAUUCGAAGAUACGCGCAGAACCUUACCAACACUUGACAUGUUCGUCGCGACUCUAAGAGAUUAGAGUUUUCGGUUCGGCCGGACGAAACACAGGUGCUGCAUGGCUGUCGUCAGCUCGUGUCGUGAGAUGUUGGGUUAAGUCCCGCAACGAGCGCAACCCUCACUUUUAGUUGCCAUCAUUAAGUUGGGCACUCUGAAAGAACUGCCAGUGAUAAGCUGGAGGAAGGUGGGGAUGACGUCAAGUCCUCAUGGCCCUUACGUGUUGGGCUACACACGUGCUACAAUGGUAUCUACAACAGGAAGCAAGACUGCGAGGUCAAGCAAAUCCUCAAAAGAUACCUCAGUUCGGAUUGCACUCUGCAACUCGAGUGCAUGAAGCUGGAAUUACUAGUAAUCGUGGAUCAGCGUGCCACGGUGAAUGCGUUCCCGGGUCUUGUACACACCGCCCGUCACACCAUGGGAGUUGGUUCUACCUUAAGGCAAGGUUUAAAACCCUUGACCACGGUAUAGUCAGCGACUGGGGUGAAGUCGUAACAAGGUAACCAAGGGCGA
RNAcentral lists this ribosomal RNA (597 nucleotides) under uncultured Alphaproteobacteria bacterium. RNAcentral's name for it is "bacterial SSU rRNA". It matches the Rfam family "Bacterial small subunit ribosomal RNA", at positions 903 to 1509 of the family's 1533-position model. Lineage: Bacteria; Pseudomonadati; Pseudomonadota; Alphaproteobacteria. The record is from RNAcentral.